This 793-nucleotide ribosomal RNA is filed under the name uncultured archaeon. Its description in RNAcentral is "bacterial SSU rRNA". It matches the Rfam family "Archaeal small subunit ribosomal RNA", at positions 85 to 879 of the family's 1478-position model. The record is from RNAcentral.
ACGGCUCAGUAACACGUGGACAACCUGCCCAAAGGUCCGGGAUAACCCCGGGAAACUGGGGAUAAUACCGGAUAAAUCACAGGUACUGGAAGGUCUUGUGGUUGAAACUUCCGGGGCCUUUGGAUGGGUCUGCGGCGGAUUAGGUUGUUGCCGGUGUAACGUACCGUCAAGCCUGUAAUCCGUACGGGUUGUGGGAGCAAGAGCCCGGAGAUGGAUUCUGAGACACGAAUCCAGGCCCUACGGGGCGCAGCAGGCGCGAAAACUCUACAAUGCAGGCAACUGCGAUAGGGGAACAUCGAGUGAUACUCAUCUUGGGUGUCUGUCCUCCCGUCUAAAAAACGGGAGUUAGCAAGGGCCGGGCAAGACCGGUGCCAGCCGCCGCGGUAAUACCGGCGGCUCGAGUGGUGGCCGAUAUUAUUGAGUCUAAAGGGUCCGUAGCCGGCUUUGCAAGUCUUUUGGGAAAUCCAGCGGCUUAACCGUUGGUCGUCCGGGAGAUACUACAUUGCUUGGGACUGGGAGAGGUAGGAGGUACUCAGGGGGUAGGAGUGAAAUCCUGUAAUCCUUUGGGGACCACCGGUGGCGAAGGCGUCCUACCAGAACAGGUCCGACGGUGAGGGACGAAAGCUAGGGGCACGAACCGGAUUAGAUACCCGGGUAGUCCUAGCCGUAAACGAUGCUCGCUAGGUGUCACAACAAUCGUGAAUUGUUGUGGUGCCGUAGGGAAGCCGUGAAGCGAGCCACUUGGGAAGUACGACCGCAAGGUUGAAACUUAAAGGAAUUGGCGGGGGAGCAC